Molecule: ribosomal RNA, 328 nt
Filed under: uncultured eukaryote
Lineage: Eukaryota
Description: partial 18S ribosomal RNA
Rfam family: Eukaryotic small subunit ribosomal RNA
Source: RNAcentral
CCCUUAGAUGUCCUGGGCCGCACGCGCGCUACACUGAGUGUCUGAGAUACGAGUCUGCCUGGUCCGGCAAGGUCUAGGUAAUCGCUAAAAGACACAUCAUGCUUGGGAUAGAUUAUUGCAAAUAUUAAUCUUGAACGAGGAAUUCCUAGUAAGCGCAAGUCAACAGCUUGCGUUGAUACGUCCCUGCCCUUUGUACACACCGCCCGUCGCUACUACUGAUUGGAUGUUUAAGCGAGGUUCUCGAACUGCUAGCGACUUAGCUUCGGUGAGGUCGCAGUGUGGGAAGUGAACCUAGCUUUGGUGUCUAGAGGAAGUAAAAGUCGUAACA